This 475-nucleotide ribosomal RNA is filed under the name uncultured bacterium. RNAcentral describes it as "partial 16S ribosomal RNA". It matches the Rfam family "Bacterial small subunit ribosomal RNA", at positions 355 to 822 of the family's 1533-position model. The record is from RNAcentral.
UGGGGAAUUUUGGACAAUGGGCGAAAGCCUGAUCCAGCAAUGCCGCGUGUGUGAAGAAGGCCUUCGGGUUGUAAAGCACUUUUGUCCGGAAAGAAAUCCUUGGCUCUAAUACAGUCGGGGGAUGACGGUACCGGAAGAAUAAGCACCGGCUAACUACGUGCCAGCAGCCGCGGUAAUACGUAGGGUGCAAGCGUUAAUCGGAAUUACUGGGCGUAAAGCGUGCGCAGGCGGUUUGCUAAGACCGAUGUGAAAUCCCCGGGCUCAACCUGGGAACUGCAUUGGUGACUGGCAGGCUAGAGUAUGGCAGGAGGGGGGUAGAAUUCCACGUGUAGCAGUGAAAUGCGUAGAGAUGUGGAGGAAUACCGAUGGCGAAGGCAGCCCCCUGGGCAAUACUGACGCUCAUGCACGAAAGCGUGGGGAGCAAACAGGAUUAGAUACCCUGGUAGUCCACGCCCUAAACGAUGUCAACUAGUUG